CCUGGCUCAGGAUGAACGCUAGCGGCAAGCUUCAUACGUGCAAGUCGAGGGGCAGCAUAGAUUGCUUGCAAUCUGAUGGCGACCGGCGAACGGGUGCGUAACGCGUAUGCAACUUACCUUUUACUAGGAGAUAGCCAAGAGAAAUUUUGAUUAAUAUCCUAUACAAUUAUUUUAUCUCAUGAUAAAAUAAUAAAAGCUCAGGCGGUAAAAGAUAGGCAUGCGUCCUAUUAGCAAGUAGGUGAGGUAACGGCUCACCUAUGCUACGAUAGGUAGUGGCCCUGAGAGGGGGAUCCCCCACACUGGUACUGAGACACGGACCAGACUCCUACGGGAGGCAGCAGUGAGGAAUAUUGGGCAAUGGAGGCAACUCUGACCCAGCCAUGCCGCGUGCAGGAAGACUGCCCUAUGGGUUGUAAACUGCUUUUAUACAGGAAGAAACCCUCCCUCGUGUGGGGAGCUGACGGUACUGUAAGAAUAAGGAUCGGCUAACUCCGUGCCAGCAGCCGCGGUAAUACGGAGGAUCCAAGCGUUAUCCGGAAUCAUUGGGUUUAAAGGGUCCGUAGGUGGAUAAUUAAGUCAGAGGUGAAAUCCUGCAGCUCAACUGUAGAAUUGCCUUUGAAACUGGUUAUCUUGAGUCAUUAUGAAGUGGUUAGAAUGUGUAGUGUAGCGGUGAAAUGCAUAGAUAUUACACAGAAUACCAAUUGCGAAGGCAGAUCACUAAUAAUCUACUGACACUGAUGGACGAAAGCGUGGGUAGCGAACAGGAUUAGAUACCCUGGUAGUCCACGCCGUAAACGAUGGAUACUAGCUGUUCGGAUUUAGGUCUGAGUGUGAGUGGCUAAGCGAAAGUGAUAAGUAUCCCACCUGGGGAGUACGUUCGCAAGAAUGAAACUCAAAGGAAUUGACGGGGGCCCGCACAAGCGGUGGAGCAUGUGGUUUAAUUCGAUGAUACGCGAGGAACCUNNNNNNNNNNNNNNGUUCGUUUCGACUCUAAGAGAUUAGAGUUUUCGGUUAGGCCGGACGAAACACAGGUGCUGCAUGGCUGUCGUCAGCUCGUGUCGUGAGAUGUUGGGUUAAGUCCCGCAACGAGCGCAACCCUUACUUUUAGUUGCCACCAUUUAGUUGAGCACUCUAAAAGAACUGCCAGUGAUAAGCUGGAGGAAGGCGGGGAUGACGUCAAGUCCUCAUGGCCCUUAUGUGUUGGGCUACACACGUGCUACAAUGGCAUUUACAAUGAGAUGCGAAGAGGCGACUCCAAGCCAAUCUUAAAAAGAUACCUCAGUUCGGAUUGUACUCUGCAACUCGAGUACAUGAAGCUGGAAUUACUAGUAAUCGUGGAUCAGCGUGCCACGGUGAAUACGUUCCCGGGUCUUGUACACACCGCCCGUCACACCACGGGAGUUGGUUCUACCUUAAGGCAAGGUUUCAAACCU
RNAcentral lists this ribosomal RNA (1433 nucleotides) under uncultured bacterium. RNAcentral describes it as "bacterial SSU rRNA". It matches the Rfam family "Bacterial small subunit ribosomal RNA". The record is from RNAcentral.